Molecule: ribosomal RNA, 433 nt
Filed under: uncultured bacterium
Lineage: Bacteria
Description: partial 16S ribosomal RNA
Rfam family: Bacterial small subunit ribosomal RNA
Source: RNAcentral
AACGAACGCUGGCGGCAUGCCUAACACAUACAAGUCGAACGAAGGCUUCGGCCUUAGUGGCGCACGGGUGCGUAACGCGUGGGAAUCUGCCCUUAGGUUCGGAAUAACAGUUAGAAAUGACUGCUAAUACCGGAUGAUGACGUAAGUCCAAAGAUUUAUCGCCUGAGGAUGAGCCCGCGUAGGAUUAGCUAGUUGGUGUGGUAAAGGCGCACCAAGGCAACGAUCCUUAGCUGGUCUGAGAGGAUGAUCAGCCACACUGGGACUGAGACACGGCCCAGACUCCUACGGGAGGCAGCAGUGGGGAAUAUUGGACAAUGGGCGCAAGCCUGAUCCAGCAAUGCCGCGUGAGUGAUGAAGGCCUUAGGGUUGUAAAGCUCUUUUACCCGUGAUGAUAAUGACAGUAGCGGGAGAAUAAGCCCCGGCUAACUCCGUG